UGAGCAAUCUGCCCUUCUCAUCGGAAUAAGCGUUGGAACGACGUCUAAUGCCGAGUACGACCUCCUUUCGCAUG
RNAcentral lists this ribosomal RNA (74 nucleotides) under uncultured bacterium. RNAcentral describes it as "partial 16S ribosomal RNA". The record is from RNAcentral.